RNAcentral lists this ribosomal RNA (433 nucleotides) under uncultured bacterium. RNAcentral's name for it is "partial 16S ribosomal RNA". It matches the Rfam family "Bacterial small subunit ribosomal RNA", at positions 29 to 507 of the family's 1533-position model. The record is from RNAcentral.
AACGAACGCUGGCGGCAUGCCUAACACAUGCAAGUCGAACGAGACCUUCGGGUCUAUUGGCGCACGGGUGCGUAACGCGUGGGAACCUGCCCUUAGGUUCGGAAUAACUCCCCGAAAGGGGUGCUAAUACCGGAUAAUGUCUUCGGACCAAAGAUUUAUCGCCUUUGGAUGGGCCCGCGUUGGAUUAGCUAGUUGGUAGGGUAAAAGCCUACCAAGGCGACGAUCCAUAGCUGGUCUGAGAGGAUGAUCAGCCACACUGGGACUGAGACACGGCCCAGACUCCUACGGGAGGCAGCAGUGGGGAAUAUUGGACAAUGGGCGAAAGCCUGAUCCAGCAAUGCCGCGUGAGUGAUGAAGGCCUUAGGGUUGUAAAGCUCUUUUACCCGGGAUGAUAAUGACAGUACCGGGAGAAUAAGCGCCGGCUAACUCCGUG